GUUACAGACAGUGAGAGGGAGAGACAGAGAGAAAGGUCUUCCUUCCGUUGGUUCACUCCCCAGAUGGCCACAAUGGCUGGAGCUGCACUGAUCUGAAACUCAGGAGCCUCUUUCCGGUCUCCCAUGUGGGUACAGGGGCCCAAGGACUUGGGCCAUCUUCCACUGCUUUCCCAGGCCACAGCAGAGAGCUGCAUUGGAAGAGGAGCAGCCAGGACUAGAACCCUCACCCACAUGAGAUGCCAGGGCCGCAGGCGGAGGAUUAACCUACUGUGCCAAGGCACUGGCCCCGAUAUGUAUGGCUUUCAGUGAAUGGAUAAUAUGAACGUUCCCCAUGAGUUUUUGCCCACAAGUAAGAGGAGAAAAAUUGAAACUAAGGCACAACCCAGGAAAGUUAAUCCCGUGAGGGGCUCAGCCAACAUGAGCGAACUUCUGAAAUAAAAAAUAAAUACACAAAGCCUGGGAUUCCAGCGAAUGGGGCAUGGAAUGCCUAUUCUACCUACAUCAUUGCGCCCGGGGCCAGGCCUGAAUGAUGAAGACAGCUCGUUCCAAUGGAAGCGCAGAUGGGAUUGUUCCAAACAGGAGUCUGCCAGAACUCAGCAUCUCUGGUUUGAAAUGAUGGAUGUGUUUCAUCGCCGUGUAUGUGGUGCCUUGGCAACGCCGUGCACCAACAGCAGGCAGGCUGAGCGUGUCCUCGGGCAGGCUCUGUGCACGGACAGAGGACGACCGAACCGUGCCUGGGUAACAGCUUCAGCGCAGGAUUGCAGCUCUGGAUUGAAUUUUGAGCACAUGUGCAUUGCUCACUUUUGAAACGCUAAAAGCAAUGCAAGAGGCAGGACUUUGGAAAGUAAGUGAGCCCUCGAAACAUCCCAGCUUUGUUUGCCUUUUUGUUUUGUUUUUUCCUGUCCUCUAAGGUUCUGCUCCUAGCAGCAAAAUAUCUGAUUGAAAACUUCACAUGCCCAUUUUUCUCCUCAAUCUUGUUAAAGCAUAAAAUCUGUGGGAAGUCUCCACCAUCUGAAAGAGGGAGACAUUCUUCACAGUUUGGUUUUAUUUUAAAAUAAAGCUAUGACUUCAGUUUCUAAGCCUUUGUAAUAAAUUAACCAAAUAACAACUGUGUAUCAGCUUCUAACCAGCUUAGAACUGUACUGGGCUAAAAAGCAUAAUUAUCUAUUUUUGGUACUUAUUAAUUAUUAAUUAUCUGUUUUAUAUUCCCUCAAAUGAUGCUCUUACAGCAGAAGAGAAACUAAGGCAGUGGAUACAGUCAGAGAACUAAUGAACACUACUCUGUGUCAAAGUCCAAGGCCAAGUUCAAAGAAGGCUGGGCCAACAUGGGAAGGAGUGACCAGGGCUCAAUCUGGGGCUGCACAUUCAUUCUUCAAGCCCAAGAGGAGGAGGAGCUACGUGUGACACUGCCCCCAGCUCUUCUCCAAUCACAAACAUUGAGCCAGAUUCAAAGCGACUCCCCAGGUUUCAGUGUGGCUUCUUGCUUUCCAGCAGGUCCCUUUUAAAAUCUUCGCUUAAAAUGCCGGGCCUGAACGAGGAGCAAGGAAACUUCGCCCGUGCCCAAGAGCCCGAUGCCUGCACACAACCAGCAUCGUCAGCUCCCAAGCUCAUCAUCUCACGCUCGGAGUCUUCCAGCACAUUCUCCCAUUCUUGCUUUUAAUCCCGCCUUGGCGACCUUCCACGCACACAUCAUCUUCCACGAGAAGAACCAGGCACGUUUCUCAUCAGCAGUAAUCCUGCUGUCAGCCAGGUGUGCAGCUGCAGAGUGCACAGACAGCGGGAUGGGGCGAGUGGCCCAGGAGGUGAAUGUGUGCAGAGAAAUGACAGCGCAGCCUGUGACACAGCUCCGGCCACCUCAUGAGUGCAAGGCCUGUUCGACUCAAAGCAGCCUUGCAAAGUGCGGGGUUUGUGUCCCUGCACGCAAACUCGCGAAGGCCCUCACCACAAGCACACACCCCUCGCAGACACAGCACACACCUGCUGGCUAGCCAUGCCCGUGGUGAGGAAACAACAGCUGUAGUCCUUAGGACUAUGGUCUUGGUUGAAUUUGCACUUCGUCAAAGCCGGAACAAUCAACCAAGAAAGAAUUCCUACUAUUUUUCCAAGUGAAAUGCUACCGUUUACACAAUAUGUCAUGAUCACUUAAAUUUUUUUUUCUAAUUUUAAACUUGAGAUUUGCAAAAAAGUUGCAAACCUAAUAGAGUUCUCCAAUAUUCUUCAUCCUGUCGCACGAAGGAUCAUAGUAUAAGCAUCAAGGUUAGGGAAUUAACAUUGGCACAUUACUAAAAUGACAGAUCUUCCUGGAAUUUCACCAUUUUCCUUAUUCACACCCCCUUUUCUGUUCUAGGAUCCUACCCAGGACCCCCACGUUUCACUUAGGGGUCGUGGUUGCAACUGCUACAAGGAAACCAGCAAGCCCUGAGAUUACCAAAACAACAUGCAAGCAGUGCAGGGGCCGCCAGUGCCUCAGUCUCCCAGAACCACUGAGGCCCCUUGAUGACCCAGGGGAAGAAACUGGACAACACCUGUGAGUUACAGAAUGGAUAAGGAAAUCCUGACGCAGAAAUGGUAAUCAAGUACAAGGCCGGAGAGUAAGUGACGAAGCUGUGAAUUCAACCGAGGCGUGGUCUCCAGGCUUAGUAGCUGCUCCAGAGUGAAGCUGGUCUUUCUAACAGUGGUGAGGGGUGUUGCUGUGAAGGUAUUAUGCUGAUGGGAGUCAAGUCCAAAAUCAAAAAUUGACAUUACGAAAGAGAGGUGAUCAUCAAUUAUCUGGAUGAACCCGAUUCAAACAGUUGCAAGGCCCUAAAAGCAGAGUUGAGCCUUCUCUGAAGAAGAAGAAAGUUUAUUUGUGGACAGCAGAGUCUUCUCCGUCCACAGUCCUGGCUUACUUCAAGAUGUCAGAGCCGGGUGGUGGAUUGUGACCUGCAGUCUUCAGGUGUCCCUUGGGGGUCUCCUGGGGAUCUUGCUGCUCGCUGCACAGGUGUUCACGGGCCUCACCGUCCCUCCCAGCCCUGCCACUUCCCUCCAUGACAUUCCCACCACGGCAGAGCGUGAGUCCAUGGGUGUCGGACUUGACUGGCCUUCUGUUUUGUCAGCUUUCCCUCCGAUGAGGAAUUUACAGGUAAAGAAGAAUUCCCAAUGGAUCUGGGCUUCCUUGAGGAUCAUCUCUGUUGUUGAUUCAUCUAAAUGAAAUUCAAGUCUCAUUUCAAACGCCUUGGACAGUCAUGUGGGAUAUUGCUGUAGGAAACCUUGAAACAGCUGAUGCAGUACGUGUAACAGGAAAGUGUCUCUAAGUUCUGCUUUUCUGUCACUGCUCAUAUAGCUGCUCGAAUCUCAAAUUUGCUGCUUCCUGCUGUCUUACAUUUCAUGACCAUCAUAUCUUCCCACCCCCACUGCCCACUGCCACACCUAAAUCUUACACUUGUCACAUCUUCAUGUGGGAUUACACAACUUUUUUCUUUCGAGACAGCACCUGUAAGUUAGUAUUGAGUACCCUUUUAUUUCAUCAAUUACUACUACCAUUUAUUGAUCUUAAAUAUUUUAUUCAUUUGAAGGGGAGAAAGAAGCAAGGCGGCGGGGGGGAGGGGACUCCCAUUGGCUGUUUUUUUCUCCAAAUGUCUGAAAUGCAUAGAAGACUGGGCCAUUGAUCCAGUAAUCCUACUCCUGCACAGUUAAUCAAGAGAAAUGAAGUCCAUCUGUCAAAGAGACAUCUACACUCCCCUCUUUAUUCCAGAAUCAUUCACAUUACUUACCAAAUGGAAGCAAUCUAAGUGUCCAUCCACCAAUGAAUGGAGAGAGAAAAUGUGAUACCCAUAUACACAAUGAAAUGUUACCCACCCAUAAAAAUGAUCAGAUCUUGUCAUUUCCAACAAUGUAGAUAGAACUAGAGGGCACUAUGAUAAGUGAAAUAAGUUAAUACAGAAAGGUAAGCAUCAUUUGAUACAUGUGGAGUCUUGAAAAAUAGGUGAUAUCAUAGAAGUUAAAAAUGUAAUGGUGGUUAUAGAAACUGAGGAGGGAGAGGUGGGGAAACAUUGAUUGAUAGGUACUGGGUUCUAGGUAAGUAGUAGUGAGAAGUUCUGGGGUAUUAUCACAUGAUAGGAUGAUUAUGGGUAAUGUUAAUGUGUAUUUCUCUAUUUAAAAACUCUAGAAGACAGCCGGCGCCGUGGCUCAAUAGGCUAAUCCUCCACCUUGCGGCGCCGGCACACCGGGUUCUAGUCCCGGUUGGGGCGCCGGAUUCUGUCCCGGUUGCCCCUCUUCCAGGCCAGCUCUCUGCUAUGGCCAGGGAGUGCAGUGGAGGAUGGCCCAGGUGCUUGGGCCCUGCACCCCAUGGGAGACCAGGAAAAAGCACCUGGCUCCUGGCUCCUGCCAGGAUCAGCGCGGUGCGCCGGCUGCAGCGGCGGCCAUUGGAGGGUGAACCAACGGCAAAGGAAGACCUUUCUCUCUCUCUCUCUCUCACUGUCCACUCUGCCUGUCAAAAAAAAAAAAAAAAAAAAAAAAAAAAAAAAAAAACUCUAGAAGAUGGGGGGGGGCACCAGACUAAUUGCUCGCCCCUACUAGUUACUCAUUUUUUCAUACCUUCAUUCAGCAAUAAUUGAGUACUUACCAUGUGCCAGGCACCACGAUCUCACAGGUCCUGAAGAUACAAAACAAAGAACUCUUACAGAGCUGGCAUUUAGGUGGGUUGGCAGUGGAGACGGUGGGGGAGUGGCAAAGACAAUAUACAAGUAAACAAGUGAGCAAGGUGAUGUGACAGGAGGAGUGCUUUGAGGCAUUUCGCUGUCCUGGACCAGUUCUGAGUAGAAUAUGAUGCUGAGUGCUUAAUAUAUUUGUAUCUGUCAAGAGCAUGUUCUUAAAAUAAAAUCUUAAAAAAAAAAAGGGGCCGGCGAGGUGGCGCAGUAGGUUAAUCCUCCAACUGCGGCGUUGGCAUCCCAUAUGGCUGCCGGUUCUAGUCCGGGCUGCUCCUCUUCCAAUCCAGCUCUCUGCUGUAGCCUGGGAAAGCAGUGGAAGAUGGUACUGGGUUCUAGGUAAGUAGUAGUGAAGAUGGGGGGGAACCCACCAGACUAAUUGUCCUUGGGCCCCUGCACCCAAGUGGGAGACUGGAAGAAGCUCCUGGAUCCUGGCUUUGGAUUGGCACAGCUCCGACCAUUGUGGCCAUUUGGGGAGUGAUCCAAUGGACAGAAGACCUUUCUCUCUGUCUCUCCCUCUCACUGUCUGUAACUCUAUCUCUCAAAUAAAUAAAAUAAAAUCUUAAAAAAAAAAAAAAGAGCAUGUCCUAAGCAAGAACAAGUGACCCUGGCCGACUGGCAGGAAAGGAAACUCUGGCAGGCUAUUGGCAGCUUAACUGCACUAUCUGGAAGGCUCAGGAAAUAGACAGGAACAAGGUGGUGAGGGAGGGAGCAGAGCCUCGCUCUCACACGUGAUGAGUGUGCAGAGCAGCACGUGUCUCCCACAGUGCUGCAGGCCAGGAAGAUGGAUGGGGCCGGCAUCAAUGAAAGCCCUCCACGCUCCCUCAAUGAUCUCUGAGUCUGUGACACAAUCCCUGAAGGCUCAAAGUGCAACAGCAGACUUGAAAGAGCUGCUCCGGGGACAGGCCUGUGCCUGGCUGCCCUCCGGAGUGCUUGCAUCCCCCCAGACCAGCCGUGUUGGUCAGGUGCUGGGUGCUUACAAGGAAUGAAGCUGUGUCCAGACUGCCCAAGCCAUACACCCUGUGAUGGUGGUUCCAAAAUGUAGCUACAGACUCUAUGACAUCCUUUCUUUCAAGAGGUAGAGCCACCCCAGGUGAGCGUGGGCUGCGUUUGGUGACUUGUGCUUGUUGAAUGUCAUGGGGCAGAGGGUGCACCAUUUCUGAGAGGAAGAGAUCAAAGACAGUGUGGCUUCCUCCUUGCACUUUCUCUGGGUUUGCUUGCUCUUGGAGAAGCCAGCUGCCUUGCUGAGAGGAUGCCCAAGCAGCCUUGUCAACAGCACAGGAGGGGCACCCUGUAGGAGGAGGGUGUUUGGGCUCCGGUCACGGCUUCACGGGGCUGCGACUAUAACCUUAUGAGUGAUCCUGAAUCCCAAGCACCCAGACAAGCUGCGCUUGGAUUCCUGGCUUUCAGAAAUUGUGAGAUGAGAGUUACCCUAAACUUGAGGGCAACUUCUUACUCAGCGGUAGAUAACUGAAAAGUGUGCCCUUCUUUGCAUAGCUACAGUUCCUUUAAAAACAGAAAAAAAAAUGAAUGUUCGCUGCUUAUAUAAAACAGCUGUUGAUCAUACAGCCAAAA
Molecule: non-coding RNA, 6260 nt
Organism: Oryctolagus cuniculus (rabbit)
Lineage: Eukaryota; Metazoa; Chordata; Mammalia; Lagomorpha; Leporidae
Source: RefSeq, a predicted model, not a curated record